GGAUUGUGGCUCAGAUGUAGAGCGCCUGCCUAGCAUGCGUAAGGCACUGGGUUCGAUCCUCAGCACCA
RNAcentral lists this transfer RNA (68 nucleotides) under Marmota monax (woodchuck). RNAcentral's name for it is "tRNA.Ala". The record is from RNAcentral. Lineage: Eukaryota; Metazoa; Chordata; Mammalia; Rodentia; Sciuridae.